CUCCUCUCCUGUUACACACCUAACACGCCCUGCCAUGAACACGGUCAGGUUCCUCAAGGGCAGGGGUCAUAUCCUUUGCAACUUUUAUUUCCAGAGAAUGAAGCACAUUCUACACCGAACAGUGUAAAAAGGAAGAAUAAAUUAGAUGCAACGUUAUUUUGAAGUGAACCAAUGCCCCCCAUGUCUACUUUCUUUUUACCAUUGAUAUUUACUGGUACUCAUAUUUAAACGUCAUGACUAUUAGUCAUUAAGGUGGAUGAAGGAUUUACUCCAAGCACCAGCGGGUAAAAGUUUUCAAAAGUAACUGCCAACGAGAAGCCUUUCUGACACGGAUUAACCCACUUUCCUCCGAACAAGGAAUCAGACCACCACGCAGGCUCCCCAUGGAUGGCGCAGGUCACCGCUGUCAGCAGUCCUGGAUGCUGCGUAAUACCUGACGCCCUCAGAUGCCGGGCGUGAGCGGGGCUGGUGGCUCCCGCCCCAAGACCCCCAGGGCGCUGUGCACUGCGCGGGCUCCGGCCACCGCUUCCCCCACCUCCCACUGCCAGGCCGCCCCGCUGGAGAACCUGUCUCUACGGUCACCCCUCUGAACGGUGCUGCCGAAGCGGCGUCCUCCAGAACCGCGCGGCGCUGCGGUCGGAGCGCGCAGCAACCCGGGUGGAGGGCCGGGACCGAGGGGCGCUCCCGCGGUCACAGCCAUGCUCUCCCGUACGGGGGCCAGUGAACGCGCGCCAGUCUAGGCGUUGUGCUGCCCGCAAAGUGUCUCACUGGGAAUAACCCUGGAGCUUCGUAUGGAGACCACGGUGCUGCAGAGAGCGUGCUUCCAGAUCCAGAGGCUCAGCUGCGGCGACAGAAGAGGCCCACAUGCUGGACCACUUAGUGCUGAAGAAGGAGGCUCUGGGUCCAAACUGAGUCACAUCCCCACCCUGCCAGGGAUGAGCUGUGUGACCUUGACGUCUAUGAAACGUAACACGGGAUAGGAGGCCCUGGUCCUCAGCACCAUCAUCUGCUGGGAAUUGCUGGUCAGCUUCAAGCAGCGGGGAGCCCUUUCCCCUGUGUCUCACUGCACAGUUCCUCUAACUCUGGUCCAGCUUUUUCCAGCUUCAACUUGUCCUGAGCUUCCUUCUCCUCUAAACGUCCCAUUUUCCAUUCCGAACCGAGCUGGUUUCCCACUCCCUUCUCCCUGUACCCAGGAGGGAGACACACGUGAUCUGAGCUUCUGUCUGUGUCUUGCGGGCAGCUGGAUCUGGCAGUCUCCGUGCCUAUGGACCCCUGCCGUGGGCGGACAGGACAGCCACUUUCAACAUUGUUCUUCAGACAUACUCACCACUGUGAUUAUACAAGCUACGCAUGCGCACGGUGACCCAGGUAUUGGUGGAAUUCAGAAUCUUCGUGAAGGGAAACUUACAGGUUUUGCACAGCAAAGGAAACUGUAAACAAAAUGAAACGACAACCUACAGACUGGGAGAAAAUAUUUGCAAACGAUGCGACCAUCAAGGGCUUAAUUUCCAAAACAUACAAACAGCUCAUAGAACUCAAUAAUUUAAAAAAAACAAAACCCAAUUGAAAAAUGGGCAGAAGACCUAAAUAGACAUUUCUCCAAAGGAGUCAUACAGACGGCCAAGAGGCACAUGAAAAGAUGCUCAGUAUCACUAAUCGUUAGAGAAACGCAAAUCAAAAGUACAAUGAGGUACCACCUCACACCGGUCAGAAAGGCCAUCAGCAAAAAGUCUACAAGUAAUAAAUGCCAGAGAGGGCGUGGAGAGAAGGGAGCCCUUGUGCACCGUUGGUGGGAACGUGAAGUGGUGCAGCCACGGUGGAGAACAGUAUGGCGGUUCCUCAAAAAACUAAAAAUAGAGUCACCAUAUGAUCCAGCAAUCUCACCGCUGGGCGUAUAUCCACAGAAAACUCUAAUUUGAAAAGAUACACGCACCCCAGUGUUCAUAGCAGAGCUAUUUACAGUAGCCAAGACAUGGAAGCAACCUAAAUGUCCAUUGACAGAUGAAUGGAUAAAGAAGAUGUGGUAUAUAUAUAUAUAUAUAUAUAUAUAUGUGUGUGUGUGUGUGUGUGUGUGUGUGUAUACACACACACACACACACAAACACACAAUGAAAUGUUAGCCAUAAAAAAGAAUGAAAUAAUGCCAUUUGCAGCAACGUGGAUGGACAUAGAGAUUAUCAUACAAGUAAGUCAGAGAGAGACAAAUAUCAUGUGAUACCCCACUUAUACGUGGAAUCUAAAAUAUGACAGAAGUGAACUUACCUAUGAAACAGAAACAGACAUAGAAAACAAAGUUAUGGUUGCCAAAGGGGAAGGGUAGGAGGAGGGAUAAAUUAGGAGUUUGGGAUUAGCAGACCCAAACUACUAUAUAAAAAACAGAUAAACAACAAGGACCUACUGUACAGCACAGGGAAAUAUAUUCGAUAUCCUGAAAAAAAGGAAAAAAAACCUUUGUGAAGGGAAGAAUAGCCAACGUCAUGUGAAUAAUGAAGUGUCAGCCGUUUAAAAAUCUCAAACAAGUGCCGUUUUACAAGAAAAAUAAUAAAUGUAGUGUGUUAGGGUUCCCCACAGAAGCGUCACCAAUAAUCAGCAGGGUAACAGGGUGUGUGUGUGUGUGUCUGCGUAUCUAUAUAUCUGUUGUAUAUUGAGAGAGAGGGAAAUAUUUAUUUUAAGGAAUUAUUUUACACAGUUAUGGGGGCUGGU
This is a long non-coding RNA of Globicephala melas (long-finned pilot whale), 2703 nucleotides long. RefSeq lists it as uncharacterized. The record is from RefSeq and is a predicted model, not a curated record. Lineage: Eukaryota; Metazoa; Chordata; Mammalia; Artiodactyla; Delphinidae.